GCUUCACAAAGAUCCCCGCAUAGCUUCACUACUACUGUGUUGGUCCAUUUCCAGAAUCUUAAGCAGUGUUCUUGUUUAGACGAUUACCUUGGAUGAUGCUUUUGCUUAAGGAGAGGCUCAAGAAGAUCAAGGAGCUCCGCAUCCGAGUUUCAGCCAUCCUCUACAGCAAGGAGCUCUGGGCCAAAGGAGCAAGCAGCGCUGCUAGUUCCUUGAGGCCAGAUCGAGUAAGAUGGUGCACCAUGGCGUGUGGUGGUGUAUUUUGCUUCCGAGAACAGUACUGUUUAUUUGAAGUGAGAUGUACUCGUCUAGUGCCUGGCAAAAAAUUGAAGGAUGAAGUGUCAUGUACUGUCUAUGUUGUAGUGAGCUGUAGUAGGAGUGAAACGAAAAUUUAUCUGCUGUUGUAUGUGCUAUUUCCCUGUAA
Molecule: long non-coding RNA, 421 nt
Organism: Triticum aestivum (bread wheat)
Lineage: Eukaryota; Viridiplantae; Streptophyta; Magnoliopsida; Poales; Poaceae
Exons: 2
Source: RefSeq, a predicted model, not a curated record